Molecule: transfer RNA, 70 nt
Filed under: Macleaya cordata
Lineage: Eukaryota; Viridiplantae; Streptophyta; Magnoliopsida; Ranunculales; Papaveraceae
Rfam family: tRNA
About the family: Transfer RNA (tRNA) molecules are approximately 80 nucleotides in length. Their secondary structure includes four short double-helical elements and three loops (D, anti-codon, and T loops).
Source: Rfam by way of RNAcentral
GGAUCCAUAGCUCAGUGGUAGAGUAUUUGACUGCAGAUCAAGAGGUCACCGGUACUUACCCGGUUGGGCA